Molecule: ribosomal RNA, 253 nt
Filed under: uncultured bacterium
Lineage: Bacteria
Description: partial 16S ribosomal RNA
Rfam family: Bacterial small subunit ribosomal RNA
Source: RNAcentral
UACGUAGGGUGCGAGCGUUAAUCGGAAUUACUGGGCGUAAAGCGUGUGUAGGCGGCCACGUAAGUCGGAUGUGAAAGCCCCGGGCUCAACCCGGGAAGUGCACUCGAUACUGCGUGGCUUGAGUACUGGAGAGGUUGGUGGAAUUCUCGGUGUAGAGGUGAAAUUCGUAGAUAUGACAUAGAACACCAAUUGCGAAGGCAGCUGGCUACAGGGAUAUUGACACUGAGGCACGAAAGCGUGGGGAUCAAACAGG